GGGGGAGAAUGGGCAUCCCACCCCAGCACUUUCUAGGAAGAAGGGCAACAUUUUGAAGGGCUGGAAGUAGAGAAAGAAGGUUGCGGGUAGAAGACUCCAUACUUUCUGUGACGCCUAUUCCUUAGGAGAGCUUUUAUAUAACCAAAGAUAUUUUUGGACCAUGAAUUCGGAAAUUCUCGGAGCCACCCAUCAAUGCCUGAGCUUCAGUGAGUCCAUAUCCCAUGUCACCUACGGCAAAGGAGAAUCUGAGACUUCUGAAGAGUUUCUUGCUUCUUUCCUGUGGGGCAGUGACUCCACUUCCCAGCAGUAAUGGAAUAUCCUGAAUUAGCUACAUUAAUGUUAGAACCAUUUGGACCUCACCCAGGACUUCAACUACAUUGUGAGUAACUCCUGGACGACUGGCACAGAAGAAGGCACAAGGUUCUAGUAUGUUAGGUUUAUGUUCCCCUGCUUUCUACAAUCCUGUUCAAAGAGUUGCUGACUUAACCACAGAGAGAAUUCCAGAACAUGAGACACAGAAUAAACUUGAACAAUCAUAGUCCAUCCACUUCAUUUUCUCAUCGAAAACCAAAGGUCCAGUGAGGCUCUGGAACUCGACGCUGUAAAGGAGCGAAGGAGCAUCUAUACAGAACCUGGAUGCCUGUCUCCUUAUCCU
This 655-nucleotide non-coding RNA is filed under the name Pongo abelii (Sumatran orangutan). The record is from RNAcentral. Lineage: Eukaryota; Metazoa; Chordata; Mammalia; Primates; Hominidae.